CAAGGAAUUUUCCGCAAUGGGGGCAACCCUGACGGAGCAACGCCGCGUGCGGGAUGACGCUUUUCGGAGUGUAAACCGCUUUUCUCGGGGAGGAUGGAGGACAGUACCCGAGGAAUCAGGCCCGGCUAACUACGUGCCAGCAGCCGCGGUAAUACGUAGGGGCCGAGCGUUGUCCGGAGUUAUUGGGCGUAAAGCGCGCGCAGGUGGCGGCGCGCGUGGGGGGUGAAAUCGCCCGGCUUAACUGGGCGGGGGCCUUCCAGACGGCGUGGCUUGAGCAGCGGAGGGGGACGUGGGAUUCCGGGUGGAGCGGUGAAAUGCGUAGAGAUCCGGAGGAACACCGACGGCGCAGGCAGCGUCCUGGCCGCUUGCUGACACUGAGGCACGAAAGCUGGGGGAGCAAACAGGAUUAGAUACCCUGGUAGUCCCAGCCGUAAACGAUGUCCACCAGGUGCUGGGCGGAUCGACCCGUUCAGUGCCGCAGCUUACGUGAUGAGUGGACCGCCUGGGGAGUACGGCCGCAAGGUUG
This 526-nucleotide ribosomal RNA is filed under the name uncultured bacterium. Its description in RNAcentral is "bacterial SSU rRNA". It matches the Rfam family "Bacterial small subunit ribosomal RNA", at positions 355 to 896 of the family's 1533-position model. The record is from RNAcentral.